This 515-nucleotide ribosomal RNA is filed under the name uncultured Bacteroidota bacterium. RNAcentral's name for it is "bacterial SSU rRNA". It matches the Rfam family "Bacterial small subunit ribosomal RNA", at positions 351 to 867 of the family's 1533-position model. The record is from RNAcentral. Lineage: Bacteria; Pseudomonadati; Bacteroidota.
GCAGUGAGGAAUAUUGGUCAAUGGGCGUUAGCCUGAACCAGCCAAGUAGCGUGAAGGAUGACUGCCCUAUGGGUUGUAAACUUCUUUUAUAAGGGAAUAAAACGGGGAACGUGUUCCCCUUUGCAUGUACCUUACGAAUAAGGAUCGGCUAACUCCGUGCCAGCAGCCGCGGUAAUACGGAGGAUCCGAGCGUUAUCCGGAUUUAUUGGGUUUAAAGGGUGCGUAGGCGGAUUGAUCAGUCAGUUGUGAAAGUUUGAGGCUCAACCUUAAAAUUGCCGUUGAUACUGUCAUUCUUGAGUGUACAAGAGGUGGGCGGAAUUCGUGGUGUAGCGGUGAAAUGCUUAGAUAUCACGAAGAACUCCGAUUGCGAAGGCAGCUCACUGGGGUACAACUGACGCUGAGGCACGAAAGUGUGGGUAUCAAACAGGAUUAGAUACCCUGGUAGUCCACACAGUAAACCUCAAUACUCGCUGUUUGCGAUAUACAGUAAGCGGCUAAGCGAAAGCGUUAAGUAU